RNAcentral lists this ribosomal RNA (454 nucleotides) under uncultured bacterium. Its description in RNAcentral is "bacterial SSU rRNA". It matches the Rfam family "Bacterial small subunit ribosomal RNA", at positions 340 to 786 of the family's 1533-position model. The record is from RNAcentral.
UACGGAAGGCAGCAGUGGGAAUAUUGCACAAUGGGCGAAAGCCUGAUGCAGCUAUGCCGCGUGUAUGAAGAAGGCCUUAGGGUUGUAAAGUACUUUCAUCGGGGAGGAAAAAACAAAACUAAUAAUUUUAUUUCUUGACGUUACCCGAAAAAGAAGCACCGGCUAACUCCGUGCCAGCAGCCGCGGUAAUACGGAGGGUGCUAGCGUUAAUCAGAAUUACUGGGCGUAAAGAGCACGUAGGUGGUUUUUUUAAGUCAGAUGUGAAUCCCUGGGCUUAACCUAGGAACUGCAUUUUGAAACUGAAAUACUAGAGUAUCGUAGAGGGAGGUAGAAUUCUAGGUGUAGCGGUGAAAUGCGUAGAUAUCUGGAGGAAUACCUGUGGCGAAAGCGGCCUCCUAAACGAAUACUGACACUGAGGUGCGAAAGCGUGGGGAGCAAACAGGGAUUAGAUACC